RNAcentral lists this ribosomal RNA (253 nucleotides) under uncultured bacterium. Its description in RNAcentral is "partial 16S ribosomal RNA". It matches the Rfam family "Bacterial small subunit ribosomal RNA", at positions 524 to 776 of the family's 1533-position model. The record is from RNAcentral.
UACGUAGGGACCGAGCGUUGUCCGGAAUCAUUGGGCGUAAAGAGCGUGUAGGCGGCUAUUUAAGUCCUGCGUGAAAUCCUGCGGCUCAACCGCAGACGGUCGUGGGAAACUGGAUGGCUAGAGUGCGGGAGAGGAGAGUGGAAUUCCCGGUGUAGCGGUGAAAUGCGCAGAUAUCGGGAAGAACACCCGUGGCGAAGGCGGGUCUCUGGGCAACAACUGACGCUGAGGAGCGAAAGCGUGGGGAGCGAACAGG